This is a long non-coding RNA of Artibeus jamaicensis (Jamaican fruit-eating bat), 1682 nucleotides long. RefSeq lists it as uncharacterized. NCBI's taxonomy places the organism in Eukaryota, Metazoa, Chordata, Mammalia, Chiroptera, Phyllostomidae. The transcript is spliced from 2 exons. The record is from RefSeq and is a predicted model, not a curated record.
CCGUGGUGGCGUCGUUGAAUCUUGGUGAAAUCUGCCGCGCGAAAGAGCUGGGGUGUCUUAGACCCCAAACCAGGGUUCGGGACGCGGGACCCCCGCGGGCUGCCCGCGGGUCCGGGCCUCCGCACGCGGCCGUGGGCAGUGCAGAUUCGGGCACUCACUAACGGCAGAAGCCCGCCUGCUGCGUCCCGGUCUUCCGCUCAGAGGGUCUGGACCUCAGUUCCCUCGCUUGUAAUGUGGGCACAGUGUUGCCCGACGACCGCGGUGGUGCAAGGCCUACGGGAGGCAGGCUGCGUGGGCGUGCACGGCCCACCUGCGAGCGGGGGCCCGCGCCGGCAGCUCAGAGGGCUGACCGUGAGCCCGGUCGUUGAGCAGGGUAGAGCACCUGGCCCUGGCUGACCCCAGCGACCCAUCGCGGAGAGUUGGUAAAGGGCGGUGCUGUGCCCCCUGGGUGCGAGCCACCAGACAGUUGUGGUCUUGUUAAGUCUACAUCAGCGGGGAGGGUUCAGUAGUAUCCGCAAGGCCCAGAGAAGGGGAGAGAUUUUGUUGAGGCGAGUGGUGGACCCUCUGUCGGGUGGCUCCUCCGCCCCGAGAGGAGAUGGUGGGCGAGCCACCUGGGAGUACCACCUCCUUUCUGUCCGGAGUUAACCCAAGCCCCAGCGUCCUGCUGAAGCUCCAAAAUAGUGGAACAAAAAAGGCUUCUGCCAGAAGAGAGACAGAUGCUUGAUUAUAACCCGGAAACUCCGUGUCUCUCAGUAAUCGACAGAACAGGUGGUGGCCGGUCAGUGAGGAUGUGGAGGACUCUACCAGCACUUUCACCUGCAGCGGUGGGAUUGGCAUUCCCAAGAACGCCACACCCAACAGCAGCAGAAAGCUGGCGAGGGCGACAGCCCUAUCGCAGAGAUGCACUGAAUGCCCCAGGGCCCGGCGGACGUCACCUGGGGCAGGAGCGUUCCGAGAACACAGAUGGCCUCUGAAGGCUGAGCAUUAGCCAGAAGCCAGGUGGAGGACCGUUUGAAGGAGGGCAUCCGUCCUCCCCAGCUCACACGGUGGAAUUCUUUUUUUUUAAUCUAGAUUUUUUAAAAGAGAUUUUAUUUAUUCAUUUUUAGAGAGGGGAAGAGAAGGAAAAAGGGAGAGAAAUAUCAAUGUGUGUUUGCCUCUCGUGCUCCCCCUACUGGGGACCCUUUGGUUCACAGGCCAGAGCCCAAUCCACUGAGCCACCCCAGCCAGGAAGAAUUCUAAUGCUCAGUGUGAUGGUGUUAGAAGAUGGGGCCUCUGGAAUGUGAUUAGGUCAUGACGGUGGAGGUGAAUUCGUGCUCAGUGAAGGACCCCACAGAGCCUCCUAGACCCUGCUGCUGAGUGAGGAGCAAGGACACAUCUGCAGCCCAGACUUGGUUGGUUGCAUAAGGACUCUUAUUCAACCCGUCGUGACACCCUGAUCUUGGACUUCCAGCCUUCAAAACUGGGAAAUACAUUUCUAUUUUUUAUAAGCAAAAAAGGGGGAGGGGUGGGGGUUGCCCAUAACCUUGGUGGGGUAGCUCUGUUGGUUAGAGUGUCCAGAUGCACCAAGGUUGCAGGUUUGAUCCUUCAUCAGGACAUGUAUAAGACUCAACCGAUGAAUGCAUCAAUAAGUGGAAUAGAUGUUUCGUUCUCUCUGGAAUGAAUUAAAAGGAAGGUCGGGCUGC